UACGUAGGGGGCGAGCGUUGUCCGGAAUCAUUGGGCGUAAAGCGCGUGUAGGCGGCUCGGUAAGUCUGCUGUGAAAGUCCAGGGCUCAACCCUGGAAUGCCGGUGGAAACUGUCGAGCUUGAGUCCGGAAGAGGCGAGUGGAAUUCCUGGUGUAGCGGUGAAAUGCGCAGAUAUCAGGAGGAACACCAAUGGCGAAGGCAGCUCGCUGGGACGGUACUGACGCUGGGACGCGAAAGCGUGGGGAGCAAACAGG
RNAcentral lists this ribosomal RNA (253 nucleotides) under uncultured bacterium. RNAcentral describes it as "partial 16S ribosomal RNA". It matches the Rfam family "Bacterial small subunit ribosomal RNA", at positions 524 to 776 of the family's 1533-position model. The record is from RNAcentral.